UACGGGGGGGGCAAGCGUUGUUCGGAAUUACUGGGCGUAAAGGGCUCGUAGGCGGCCAACUAAGUCAGACGUGAAAUCCCUCGGCUUAACCGGGGAACUGCGUCUGAUACUGGAUGGCUAGAGGUUGGGAGAGGGAUGCGGAAUUCCAGGUGUAGCGGUGAAAUGCGUAGAUAUCUGGAGGAACACCGGUGGCGAAGGCGGGUCUCUGGGCAGUAACUGACGCUGAGGAGCGAAAGCGUGGGGAGCGAACAGG
Molecule: ribosomal RNA, 253 nt
Filed under: uncultured bacterium
Lineage: Bacteria
Description: partial 16S ribosomal RNA
Rfam family: Bacterial small subunit ribosomal RNA
Source: RNAcentral